Molecule: unclassified non-coding RNA, 387 nt
Filed under: soil metagenome
Description: partial contains 5.8S ribosomal RNA, internal transcribed spacer 2, and large subunit ribosomal RNA
Rfam family: 5.8S ribosomal RNA (bases 1-120)
Source: RNAcentral
GAUGAAGAACGCAGCGAAAUGCGAUAAGUAAUGUGAAUUGCAGAAUUCAGUGAAUCAUCGAAUCUUUGAACGCACAUUGCGCCCAUUAGUAUUCUAGUGGGCAUGUCUGUUCGAGCGUCAUUAAUUCCACUUAAGCCCUGCUUAGUGUUGGGAAUCUACUCUAGUGGUGCUACCCUGGAGCUACCCCUGAAAGGGGGCUGGCCCGGUAGCUACCCUGUAGUUCCUCAAAGAUAGUGCGCGGAGUUGCGUGGUCCUCUGAGCUUAGUAACUAUACACCUAGCUUUUGAGUGUCCCGCGGCGCCUGCCGUUUAAACCCCAUCUUUUAAUGGUUGACCUCGGAUCAGGUAGGAAUACCCGCUGAACUUAAGCAUAUCAAUAAGCGGAGGA